GCCUACAGGCAUACCACCCUUAAUGUGCCAGAUCUCAUCUGAUCUCGGAAGCUAAGCAGGGUCGGGCCUGGUUAGUACUUGGGUGGGAAUGUGUGGUUCAAUGAGGCUCUCUAGAAA
This 117-nucleotide ribosomal RNA is filed under the name Microcebus murinus (gray mouse lemur). Lineage: Eukaryota; Metazoa; Chordata; Mammalia; Primates; Cheirogaleidae. The record is from RNAcentral.